RNAcentral lists this ribosomal RNA (269 nucleotides) under uncultured prokaryote. RNAcentral's name for it is "partial 16S ribosomal RNA". It matches the Rfam family "Bacterial small subunit ribosomal RNA", at positions 524 to 792 of the family's 1533-position model. The record is from RNAcentral.
AACGAAGGUGGCAAGCGUUGUUCGGAAUUACUGGGCGUAAAGAGCACGUAGGUGGUUUCGUGUGUCGAUGGUGAAAUCCUGCAGCUCAACUGUAGAACUGCCGUCGAAACUACGAGGCUAGAGGACAGGAGGGGAGAGUGGAAUUCCUAGUGUAGCGGUGAAAUGCGUAGAUAUUAGGAGGAACGCCGGUGGCGAAAGCGACUCUCUGGACUGUUUCUGACACUGAGGUGCGAAAGCUAGGGGAGCAAACAGGAUUAGAUACCCCCGUA